CAGCUCAAAUUUGAAAUCUGGCUCCUUCGGGGCCCGAGUUGUAAUUUGUAGAAGAUGCUUUGGGCGCGGCCCCGGUCUAAGUUCCUUGGAACAGGACGUCAUAGAGGGUGAGAAUCCCGUAUGUGACUGGGUGCCUGCGCCCGUGUAAAGCUCUUUCGACGAGUCGAGUUGUUUGGGAAUGCAGCUCAAAAUGGGUGGUAAAUUUCAUCUAAAGCUAAAUAUUGGCCAGAGACCGAUAGCGCACAAGUAGAGUGAUCGAAAGAUGAAAAGCACUUUGGAAAGAGAGUUAAACAGUACGUGAAAUUGUUGAAAGGGAAGCGCUUGCAACCAGACUCGCGGGCCGUCGAUCAUCCGGGGUUCUCCCCGGUGCACUCGGCGGCCCUCGGGCCAGCAUCGGUUUCGGUGGCGGGACAAAGGCCUUGGGAAUGUAGCUUCUUUCGGGGAGUGUUAUAGCCCUCGGCGCAAUGCCGCCUACCGGGACCGAGGACCGCGCUUCGGCUAGGAUGCUGGCGUAAUGGUUGUAAGCGACCCGUCUUGAAACACGGACCAAGGAGUCUAACAUCUAUGCGAGUGUUUGGGUGUUAAACCCAUACGCGGAAUGAAAGUGAACGGAGGUGAGAACCCUUUAGGGCGCAUCAUCGACCGAUCCUGAUGUCUUCGGAUGGAUUUGAGUAAGAGCAUAGCUGUUGGGACCCGAAAGAUGGUGAACUAUGCCUAAAUAGGGUGAAGCCAGAGGAAACUCUGGUGGAGGCUCGCAGCGGUUCUGACGUGCAAAUCGAUCGUCAAAU
This 788-nucleotide ribosomal RNA is filed under the name Bulgariella pulla. RNAcentral's name for it is "eukaryotic LSU rRNA". It matches the Rfam family "Eukaryotic large subunit ribosomal RNA", at positions 104 to 910 of the family's 3401-position model. Lineage: Eukaryota; Fungi; Ascomycota; Leotiomycetes; Phacidiales; Phacidiaceae. The record is from RNAcentral.